This 571-nucleotide ribosomal RNA is filed under the name uncultured Penicillium. Its description in RNAcentral is "LSU rRNA". It matches the Rfam family "Eukaryotic large subunit ribosomal RNA", at positions 62 to 648 of the family's 3401-position model. The record is from RNAcentral. Lineage: Eukaryota; Fungi; Ascomycota; Eurotiomycetes; Eurotiales; Aspergillaceae.
AAACCAACAGGGAUUGCCCCAGUAACGGCGAGUGAAGCGGCAAGAGCUCAAAUUUGAAAGCUGGCUCCUUCGGGGUCCGCAUUGUAAUUUGCAGAGGAUGCUUCGGGAGCGGUCCCCAUCUAAGUGCCCUGGAACGGGACGUCAUAGAGGGUGAGAAUCCCGUAUGGGAUGGGGUGUCCGCGCCCGUGUGAAGCUCCUUCGACGAGUCGAGUUGUUUGGGAAUGCAGCUCUAAAUGGGUGGUAAAUUUCAUCUAAAGCUAAAUAUUGGCCGGAGACCGAUAGCGCACAAGUAGAGUGAUCGAAAGAUGAAAAGCACUUUGAAAAGAGAGUUAAAAAGCACGUGAAAUUGUUGAAAGGGAAGCGCUUGCGACCAGACUCGCUCGCGGGGUUCAGCCGGCAUUCGUGCCGGUGUAUUUCCCCGCGGGCGGGCCAGCGUCGGUUUGGGCGGUCGGUCAAAGGCCCUCGGAAGGUAACGCCCCUAGGGGCGUCCUAUAGCCGAGGGUGCAAUGCGACCUGCCUAGACCGAGGAACGCGCUUCGGCUCGGACGCUGGCAUAAUGGUCGUAAGCGAC